UACGUAGGGACCAAGCGUUGUUCGGAUUUACUGGGCGUAAAGGGCGCGUAGGCGGCGUGUCAAGUCAAUUGUGAAAUCUCCGGGCUUAACUCGGAACGGUCAAUUGAUACUGAUGUGCUAGAGUGCAGAAGGGGCAAUCGGAAUUCUUGGUGUAGCGGUGAAAUGCGUAGAGAUGUGGAGGAACACCGAUGGCGAAGGCAGCCUCCUGGGCCAGCACUGACGCUCAUGCACGAAAGCGUGGGGAGCAAACGGG
Molecule: ribosomal RNA, 253 nt
Filed under: uncultured bacterium
Lineage: Bacteria
Description: partial 16S ribosomal RNA
Rfam family: Bacterial small subunit ribosomal RNA
Source: RNAcentral